GACGAACGCUGGCGGCGUGCUUAACACAUGCAAGUCGAACGGAAAGGCCCUGCUUUUGUUGGGUGCUCGAUUGGCGAACGGGUGAGUAACACGGGGGUAACCUGCCCUUGACUUUGGGAUAACUUCGGGAAACUGGGGCUAAUACCGGAUAGGAGCUCCUGCUGCAUGGUGGUGGUUGGAAAUUUUCGGCGAGUGGGGAUGGACUCGCGGCUUAGCAGCUUGUUGGUGGGGUAGUGACUUACCAAGGCUUUGACGGGUAGCCGGCCUGAGAGGGUGACCGGCCACAUGGGGACUGAGAUACGGCCCAGACUCCUACGGGAGGCAGCAGUGGGGAAUAGUGCACAAUGGGCGGAAGCCUGAUGCAGCAACGCCGCGUGCGGGAUGACGGCUUUCGGGUUGUAAACCGCUUUCGCCUGUGACGAAGCGUGAGUGACGGUAAUGGGUAAAGAAGCACCGGCUAACUACGUG
Molecule: ribosomal RNA, 468 nt
Filed under: uncultured bacterium
Lineage: Bacteria
Description: partial 16S ribosomal RNA
Rfam family: Bacterial small subunit ribosomal RNA
Source: RNAcentral